RNAcentral lists this ribosomal RNA (253 nucleotides) under uncultured microorganism. RNAcentral describes it as "partial 16S ribosomal RNA". It matches the Rfam family "Bacterial small subunit ribosomal RNA", at positions 524 to 776 of the family's 1533-position model. The record is from RNAcentral.
UACGGAGGGUGCGAGCGUUAUUCGGAAUUACUGGGCGUAAAGCGCGUGUAGGCGGCAGGGCAAGUCUGGUGUGAAAGCCCGGGGCUCAACCCCGGAAGUGCAAUGGAAACUGCUCUGCUUGAGUACCGGAGAGGAAGGUGGAAUUCCCGGUGUAGCGGUGAAAUGCGUAGAUAUCGGGAGGAAUACCAGUGGCGAAGGCGCCCUUCUGGACGGUUACUGACGCUGAGACGCGAAAGCGUGGGGAGCAAACAGG